UACAGAGGGUGCAAGCGUUGUUCGGAAUUAUUGGGCGUAAAGGGUGCGUAGGCGGUCGGGUAAGUCUGAUGUGAAAUCUCACAGCUUAACUGUGAAACUGCAUUGGAUACUAUCCGGCUAGAGGAAUGGAGGGGAGACUGGAAUACUUGGUGUAGCAGUGAAAUGCGUAGAUAUCAAGUGGAACACCAGUGGCGAAGGCGAGUCUCUGGACAUUUCCUGACGCUGAGGCACGAAAGCCAGGGGAGCAAACGGG
RNAcentral lists this ribosomal RNA (253 nucleotides) under uncultured bacterium. RNAcentral's name for it is "partial 16S ribosomal RNA". It matches the Rfam family "Bacterial small subunit ribosomal RNA", at positions 524 to 776 of the family's 1533-position model. The record is from RNAcentral.